RNAcentral lists this ribosomal RNA (451 nucleotides) under uncultured bacterium. Its description in RNAcentral is "bacterial SSU rRNA". It matches the Rfam family "Bacterial small subunit ribosomal RNA", at positions 329 to 793 of the family's 1533-position model. The record is from RNAcentral.
GCCCAGACUCCUACGGGAGGCAGCAGUGAGGAAUAUUGGUCAAUGGGCUUACGCCUGAACCAGCCAAGUCGCGUGAGGGAAGACUGCCCUAUGGGUUGUAAACCUCUUUUGUCAGGGACGAAGGAUGUGACGGUACCUGAUGAAUAAGCUCCGGCUAACUACGUGCCAGCAGCCGCGGUAAUACGUAGGGAGCAAGCGUUAUCCGGAUUUACUGGGUGUAAAGGGCGCGUAGGCGGGAUGGCAAGUCAGAUGUGAAAUCCAGGGGCUCAACCCCUGAACUGCAUUUGAAACUGUCGUUCUUGAGUACUGGAGAGGUUGACGGAAUUCCUAGUGUAGCGGUGAAAUGCGUAGAUAUUAGGAGGAACACCAGUGGCGAAGGCGGUCAACUGGACAGCAACUGACGCUGAGGCGCGAAAGCGUGGGGAGCAAACAGGAUUAGAUACCCGGGUAC